GAUGAAGAACGUAGCGAAAUGCGAUAAGUAGUGUGAAUUGCAGACUUUAGUGAAUCAUCGAAUCUUUGAACGCACAUUGCGCCCCUUGGUAUUCCGAGGGGCAUGCCUGUUCGAGCGUCAUAUUAACCACUCCCGCUUGCGGGGUCUUGGGCUUCGCCUCCGGGCGGGCCUUAAAAUCAGUGGCGGUGCCGUCGGGCUCUACGCGUAGUAAAUUUUCUCGCGAUAGGGUCCCGGUGGAUGCUUGCCAACAACCCCCAACUUCUUAAGGUUGACCUCGGAUCAGGUAGGGAUACCCGCUGAACUUAAGCAUAUCAAUAAGCGGAGGA
RNAcentral lists this unclassified non-coding RNA (326 nucleotides) under soil metagenome. Its description in RNAcentral is "partial contains 5.8S ribosomal RNA, internal transcribed spacer 2, and large subunit ribosomal RNA". The stretch from base 1 to 120 matches the Rfam family "5.8S ribosomal RNA", at positions 35 to 154 of the family's 154-position model. The record is from RNAcentral.